GAAUCGAUUUAGCUUCUAUACAACAAACAAACUGGAUUCACAACAUCCCCUAGAAGCUCCUUCUCCUUCUGAGUUUUCAACGAAUUAUUCCCAGGUGAGUUUUCCAUCUAUGUCUCUCUCUCUCUCUCGUACGUCUAUGUUACUUUUUUUGUAGCUAAUAACGAUGGGGAUUGUUCUCUGUGUAAUUGAGAGUAACGAUAAAUGCUUCUUUUGUUCAUCAUUAAGCAAGAUUACUUUAUAUACAAAAUAAAAAUUGAAAUGUUUUAUAUAUAUGUUUUUUCUUUUUCUCGGAGGUAAGGUGCAAGUCACACGUUUGUAUUGCAGACCACAACAACUCUUUUUUACAAAAAGUCAAAAACAAUAAAAAAUUCUCUUCUUCCGGCGUUUCUUUUUUUUUUUUUGGUUUUAGAGACAGAUGAUUACAACAUCUACUACUACAAGGAGCUUCGAUGAUGCCUUUUUGAAGCUCAUCGAGUUCCAAAUUAGUCUUAGUUUGUUUCUUUUGUGUUUGAAGUUAGUCUUAGUUUAUUUAUUUUGAGCGUGAACUGAAAUCAGUCUUCGUUGUUUAUUUAAUGGAAUCAUGUGUUUAGAUUCUUAGUUUUAUAGCUUUUGGUAACUAGUUUGAAGUGUGUGUUUUAUAGCGUUUAGAUUCUUUGAAUUCAGUGUAAAUAUUGAAGUGUGUGUUUUUAUAUAAUGGAAUCAUGUUUUCUUAUAUAAUAGAAUUGUGUGUUCUUAGUAUUAAAGCGUGUGUUCUUAGUUGGAUUUAUAAAGUUCAUGUUAAAGCUUUGCGAUCCACAAAGCUACAAAGAAGCGUGUGUUCUUAUAUAAUAAUUUGAACCUACAAAAAAGUAUGUGUUCUUUAGAAGCGUCUGUUCUUAUAUAACUGAAGCGUGUGUUCUUUACAAGCGUGUGUAUUUAACAAUGGGUCCUUUCUCUGUUUCAGAUGGAUUCAUCAUCAUUUCCAAAUGGUGAGGGUCUCAACAACGAAGCAACAAAUGACUCAAGUGGAGCUACUUCUCAACCAAAAACAAAAAAGGAGCAAGGCGAGAGGGCUGAAGUAUGGGAG
This 1066-nucleotide long non-coding RNA is filed under the name Capsella rubella. Its description in RNAcentral is "long non-coding RNA (CRUB_LNC003826)". Lineage: Eukaryota; Viridiplantae; Streptophyta; Magnoliopsida; Brassicales; Brassicaceae. The record is from RNAcentral.